UUUUGCUGAGGAGCAGGAAGGGAAGGAACUGAGACCAAAGGAGACACCUCCCCACACACAGCCCUGCACGCCCAGAACCCUACAAGUGUGGCCCCAGAGGCCCCGGAAAACAUCCCGUGCGCCGGGCUCGGCGGGAGAUGAGGAGGAGACCUGGGAGAAAGGCCCGCCGGACGCCCUCCCACGGGAGCCACCGGCCCCAGGGCCCGGACAGUCUCCAGCCGGCGAGGCUGCCCCUUCCACACAGGCUCUACUGGGCAGACUGGGAAACUCCUCUUGUUCUACCCCCCAAGCAGACCCGUGUAAUUCCAAGCCCCCCCUGGGGUUCUACACUCCGGCAUCAGCAGCGACACGCAAACGCUGACACACGAAGGCCCUUCCUGCUUGGGGUGUGUGAGACAAGAGCUACAGUGGGGGCUGAGGAAACUCGGUGACAAUGCUCGGGGAUAAACUGAUUCCCACCUCGAGGCCAGCGGCAAGACAGCAAGAUGGCAACACACACUGAAAUCCAGCCCACCCCCCCCAGGCCCCUCAGACAUAGGGCAGUGACCCCAGGCAGCGGUCCUGCUACACCGGGCACCAGAGAACCUUCUAGCCUCGGAGCGCUUCGCAGCCCCGCCACGCGUCCAACCUGACCAAGCUCUCUGUGCCCUCAACCAAGUGAGGAUCUAACUCUGCGGGAGGGACUCGGACACCAACGACGGGAACACGCUGUUUCCUGACAGCGGGCUGGCAAAGCACCGCGGGAGCAGAGCAGCGGGACCGCCUGAGCUGAGGCGGAGGAGGAAGGGUGAGUGGCAGCCGUGAGAGUCACAGGGGAGGGACGCGGAGCAAGGUCUGCAGGGACGACUCUGCUCUGCCGCACUGGGAUGCGGGAACAGGGCAUCCUGCCACACUGGGGUUGGCAGCAGUCCUGCGUGACUGGAGCACACAAGCAGGGGUGCUGAGGGCCCGAGGUGCGGAUGGGCAGAGGCUGGCGAAGGGAGAGCCCCACAAAGCAGGAACAGGACCAAGAACGGAGACCCGUCAAGGCAACCGUUGCUGAGGGAACCACGUUCUACCGGAUCCAGGCAGGGUGGCUCCCCUUGACUGCCACUGGUUGUUCUAGGACUCCCACAUGCUGCUUCCUGCUGCCCGGCCACCCCCCAACCAAAGCCUGGAUGUUGGCUUCUUCCUAAGGAUGGGUGGUCCUUGCCCGGCCUCUCUGGGUGCCAAAGGCAGGGCGACACCCUGGGCCACUGGCGUGGCCUGGACAGGCACGUACUCACCCGGGCCUUCUGCUUUUCAGCCUGGAGCUGUGCGUCGAUCUCCUCGGGGCUCGUGUACUGCCUCGCCCGGCCUUUGUGGCCUCCCUUUCUCCCUGCACAAGGAUUGGCAGCUUAGGAAAGUGGGAGGGAGACAGAUUCCGUGAUUGCCCUGAGCCCCAGGCUGUGUCCUGUUUGAGGUGCUCUUAUCAGAGGCUGCAGAGACCUCACCUGCCCCUCACCAAGCACCACCCAAAACCUAUACUUUCCCCACCCUCAUGUGUUCAAAAGGACGAAAGAGGCAACACUUGACCACCUGAUGCAGCACCAAACUGUGAGACCCAAGAGGAGGACUGGGGGGAGGGCACAUGGCAUGGAGUGACCAGCUCAUCCCCUGGUCCCUUAGAAUCGAAUGCAGUGACCCAGAUGCAAUCCUGA
Long non-coding RNA from Phacochoerus africanus (Common warthog), 1679 nucleotides. RefSeq lists it as uncharacterized. NCBI's taxonomy places the organism in Eukaryota, Metazoa, Chordata, Mammalia, Artiodactyla, Suidae. The transcript is spliced from 2 exons. The record is from RefSeq and is a predicted model, not a curated record.